This 429-nucleotide ribosomal RNA is filed under the name bacterium. RNAcentral's name for it is "partial 16S ribosomal RNA". It matches the Rfam family "Bacterial small subunit ribosomal RNA", at positions 355 to 776 of the family's 1533-position model. The record is from RNAcentral.
UAGGGAAUCUUCCACAAUGGACGCAAGUCUGAUGGAGCAACGCCGCGUGAGUGAAGAAGGUUUUCGGAUCGUAAAGCUCUGUUGUUGGUGAAGAAGGAUAGAGGUAGUAACUGGCCUUUAUUUGACGGUAAUCAACCAGAAAGUCACGGCUAACUACGUGCCAGCAGCCGCGGUAAUACGUAGGUGGCAAGCGUUGUCCGGAUUUAUUGGGCGGAAAGCGAGCGCAGGCGGAAGAAUAAGUCUGAUGUGAAAGCCCUCGGCUUAACCGAGGAACUGCAUCGGAAACUGUUUUUCUUGAGUGCAGAAGAGGAGAGUGGAAUUCCAUGUGUAGCGGUGGAAUGCGUAGAUAUAUGGAAGAACACCAGUGGCGAAGGCGACUCUCUGGUCUGCAACUGACGCUGAGGCUCGAAAGCAUGGGUAGCGAACAGG